RNAcentral lists this unclassified non-coding RNA (377 nucleotides) under uncultured Actinomycetes bacterium. Its description in RNAcentral is "uncultured actinobacterium contains 16S-23S intergenic spacer region". Lineage: Bacteria; Bacillati; Actinomycetota; Actinomycetes. The record is from RNAcentral.
UCCGAGUUGACCCCGGCGGUCUCCCACGAGUCCCCGGCAUUACCCGCUGGCAACAUAGGACAAGGGUUGCGUUCGUUGCGGGACUUAACCCAACAUCUCACGACACGAGCUGACGACAACCAUGCACCACCUGCACACCAACCACAAGGGAAGCCCCAUCUCUGGGGAUAUCUGGCGCAUGUCAAGCCCAGGUAAGGUUCUUCGCGUUGCAUCGAAUUAAACCACAUGCUCCGCUGCUUGUGCGGGCCCCCGUCAAUUCCUUUGAGUUUUAGCCUUGCGGCCGUACUCCCCAGGCGGAGAACUUAAUGCGUUAGCGACGGCACGGGAGGAGUCGACACCUCCCACACCUAGUUCUCAUCGCUUACAGCGUGGACUAC